UCUACGGCAGGCCUAGCACACAACACGAGCGUUGUGAGAAGCUUGCUUCUCUGAGAGUGCGGACGGGUGAGUAACCCUCGGAAUAUGCGUGGUAGUGUGGGAUAACGUUGGGAAAUGCCGGUAAUACUUCAUACGUCCUACGUGAGAUAGCAGGGGACCUUCGGGCCUUGCGUUAUCAGAUGAGCCUAGGUCGGUAUUAGCUAUUUGUAUGAGGUAAUGGCUCACCAAGGCGACGAUCUGUAACUGCUCUGAGAGGAUUAUCAGUCACAGGGAAUUGAGACAGGUUCCAGAUUCUUACGGGAGCCACCAUUGGGGUAUUUGGCAAAUGGGGGAAUCCUUGAUCCAGCCAUCCCGCGUGUUUGAAGAGGUUUUUGGGUUUUUAAAGUACUUUAAUUGGGAAGGAAGGGUUUUAGAUUAAUACUGUGCAUUUUGGCGGUACCUGAUCGAAUAAGCACGGGUUAAUUCGUUCCCGCCAGCGGCGUUAUUACUGGGGGGCCAGGGUUUUCUGGAAUUUUUUGGGGUUAAGGGGGGGUUGGGGGUUUUUUUAAUUUGAAUUGGAAAUCCCCGGGUUCACCGUGGAGGGUCCUUUGAAAAUUGAAAGAUUGGAUUCUGAUGGGGAAAGGGGAAUUUUCUGGGGAACGGUGAAAUGGGGUGGAAUUUGGAGGGACCACCGGGGGGGAGGGGGCCCUCUUGUAUUUAUAUGGCCAUUAAGGGGGGAAGGGUGGGGGUCCAACCAGGUUUGGAUACCUUGUUGUUCCCCCCGUUAAAGGAGAUUAAUUAGCCUAUGGGGGUCUCUGCGCUUUUAGUGGCGCAGCUAACGCAUAAAGCUUUCCGCCUUGAGUAGCACUGU
RNAcentral lists this ribosomal RNA (850 nucleotides) under Pseudomonas fluorescens. RNAcentral's name for it is "partial 16S ribosomal RNA". It matches the Rfam family "Bacterial small subunit ribosomal RNA", at positions 35 to 886 of the family's 1533-position model. The record is from RNAcentral. Lineage: Bacteria; Pseudomonadati; Pseudomonadota; Gammaproteobacteria; Pseudomonadales; Pseudomonadaceae.